Molecule: ribosomal RNA, 1355 nt
Filed under: uncultured prokaryote
Description: partial 16S ribosomal RNA
Rfam family: Bacterial small subunit ribosomal RNA
Source: RNAcentral
GAACGAACGCUGGCGGCGUGCCUAACACAUGCAAGUCGAACGAGAAAGUUUCCUUCGGGAAACCAGUAAAGUGGCGCAAGGGUGAGUAACACGUGAAUAAUCUGCCUAAGAAUUCGGGAUAACUCUGCGAAAGCGGUGCUAAUACCGGAUAAGACCACGUUUCUUAUGGAAUGUGGCCAAAGGAGUCUCAAACUCCGUUUUUAGAUGAGUUCGCGGACCAUUAGCUUGUUGGCGGGAUAACAGCCCACCAAGGCAACGAUGGUUAGCCGGCCUGAGAGGGUGAACGGCCACACUGGAACUGAGACACGGUCCAGACUCCUACGGGAGGCAGCAGUGGGGAAUAUUGCGCAAUGGGCGAAAGCCUGACGCAGCAAUGCCGCGUGAGGGAUGAAGGAUUUUGGUUCGUAAACCUCUGUCAAAUGGGAAGAAUUCUGACGGUACCAUUAAAGGAAGCCCCGGCUAACUCCGUGCCAGCAGCCGCGGUAAUACGGAGGGGGCAAGCGUUGUUCGGAAUCAUUGGGCGUAAAGAGUAUGUAGGCGGCUGGAUAAGUCAGACGUGUAAGCCCACGGCUCAACCGUGGAAUUGCGUUUGAAACUAUUUAGCUUGAGUGCAGGAGAGGAAGGCGGAAUUCCCAGUGUAGCGGUGAAAUGCGUAGAUAUAGGAAGGAACACCAGUGGCGAAGGCGACACUCUGGACCAAAACUGACGCUGAGGUGCGAAAGCGUGGGUAGCAAACGGGGUUAGAUACCCCGGUAGUCCACGCCGUAAACGAUGUCAACUAACUGUUGGGCGGGUUUCCGCGCUUAGUGGUGAAGCUAACGCAAUAAGUUGACCGCCUGGGGAGUACGGUCGCAAGGCUGAAACUCAAAUGAAUUGACGGGGGCCCGCACAAGCGGUGGAGCAUGUGGUUUAAUUCGAUGCAACGCGAAGAACCUUACCUACCCUUGACAUACAGAGAACUUUCCAGAGAUGGAUUGGUGCCUUCGGGAACUCUGAUACAGGUGCUGCAUGGCUGUCGUCAGCUCGUGUCGUGAGAUGUUGGGUUAAGUCCCGUAACGAGCGCAACCCUUAUCCUUAGUUGCUAUCAGUUCGGCUGGGCACUCUAGGGAAACUGCCGGUGACAAGCCGGAGGAAGGCGGGGAUGACGUCAAGUCCUCAUGGCCCUUAUAGGCUGGGCUACACACGUGCUACAAUGGCGGGGACAGUGGGCCGCGACCCCGCAAGGGUGAGCUAAUCCCCAAAAACCGUCUCAGUUCGGAUUGUACUCUGCAACUCGAGUGCAUGAAGUUGGAAUCGCUAGUAAUCGCGGAUCAGCAUGCCGCGGUGAAUACGUUCCCGGGCCUUUUACACACCGC